RNAcentral lists this ribosomal RNA (465 nucleotides) under Vreelandella stevensii. RNAcentral's name for it is "partial 16S ribosomal RNA". It matches the Rfam family "Bacterial small subunit ribosomal RNA", at positions 338 to 795 of the family's 1533-position model. The record is from RNAcentral. Lineage: Bacteria; Pseudomonadati; Pseudomonadota; Gammaproteobacteria; Oceanospirillales; Halomonadaceae.
CCUACGGGCGGCAGCAGUGGGGAAUAUUGGACAAUGGGCGAAAGCCUGAUCCAGCCAUGCCGCGUGUGUGAAGAAGGCCUUCGGGUUGUAAAGCACUUUCAGUGGGGAAGAAAGCCUUGGGGCUAAUACCCUCGAGGAAGGACAUCACCCACAGAAGAAGCACCGGCUAACUCCGUGCCAGCAGCCGCGGUAAUACGGAGGGUGCGAGCGUUAAUCGGAAUUACUGGGCGUAAAGCGCGCGUAGGCGGUCUGAUAAGCCGGUUGUGAAAGCCCCGGGCUCAACCUGGGAACGGCAUCCGGAACUGUCAGGCUAGAGGGCAGGAGAGGAAGGUAGAAUUCCCGGUGUAGCGGUGAAAUGCGUAGAGAUCGGGAGGAAUACCAGUGGCGAAGGCGGCCUUCUGGACUGACACUGACGCUGAGGUGCGAAAGCGUGGGUAGCAAACAGGAUUAGAUACCCGUGUAGUC